This is a long non-coding RNA of Canis lupus familiaris (dog), 565 nucleotides long. RefSeq lists it as uncharacterized. The record is from RefSeq and is a predicted model, not a curated record. The transcript is spliced from 2 exons. Lineage: Eukaryota; Metazoa; Chordata; Mammalia; Carnivora; Canidae.
AUACCCUGAUGGGUGGUUUCCCUUGCAUUUUCCUAAAUUUCUAAUUCCUUUUCUCUUUAAAGAACGGAUUCAUAUUGUUAAGUCUAUUUGACGGCUGUGUUUUAAUUAAAAAGUCUUGAUGAAAAUGUUUUCAUUAAACAUAUACUGGCAAGCUCUCAAAUUAUUUUGAGACAUUUCAGUCUUUGCUUUUCUGUUCCCAGUGCUGUCCCAGUCACCCUGUGGGGAUUCAACUGUGACUUCAGAUUCUUGUCAAGCAGACAUACCCACCAGCCGACGAUAGAUGGAGGAGCCCUGCCAGCCACUGCUGAUCUCGGCCAAAUCCCGAAGAGCCACCAUUUCAAGAAGCUGGUCACCUUCCAAGAUGAAGGAGAUCAUGUUCAGAAUGGUAUGCUGGCUGCCUUCGCGCAUCAUUACAACAACCUGAUCACACUAAGAGGUUUGGCCUCCUGUCAUCUUAGUGAUAAAACUAAAAGACAGUCAAACUUCAUCACACUUUUCUUCCAAGGUAAACUGAUGAAUUGCAUAUCUUAUUGAAUACAAUAAAAACAAAGAAACAUGUCCAUGA